UAGCUCAGUGGUAGAGUACAUGCCUAGCAUGUAUGAGGUCCUGGGUUCAAUUCACAG
Molecule: transfer RNA, 57 nt
Filed under: Camelus ferus (Wild Bactrian camel)
Lineage: Eukaryota; Metazoa; Chordata; Mammalia; Artiodactyla; Camelidae
Rfam family: tRNA
About the family: Transfer RNA (tRNA) molecules are approximately 80 nucleotides in length. Their secondary structure includes four short double-helical elements and three loops (D, anti-codon, and T loops).
Source: Rfam by way of RNAcentral